GACGAACGCUGGCGGCGUGCCUAAUACAUGCAAGUUGAGCGCUGAAGGUUGGUACUUGUACCAACUGGAUGAGCAGCGCACGGGUGAGUAACGCGUGGGGAAUCUGCCUUUGAGCGGGGGACAACAUUUGGAAACGAAUGCUAAUACCGCAUAAAAACUUUAAACACAAGUUUUAAGUUUGAAAGAUGCAAUUGCAUCACUCAAAGAUGAUCCCGCGUUGUAUUAGCUAGUUGGUGAGGUAAAGGCUCACCAAGGCGAUGAUACAUAGCCGACCUGAGAGGGUGAUCGGCCACAUUGGGACUGAGACACGGCCCAAACUCCUACGGGAGGCAGCAGUAGGGAAUCUUCGGCAAUGGACGAAAGUCUGACCGAGCAACGCCGCGUGAGUGAAGAAGGUUUUCGGAUCGUAAAACUCGGUUGGUAGAGAAGAACGUUGGUGAGAGUGGAAAGCUCAUCAAGUGACGGUAACUACCCAGAAAGGGACGGCUAACUACGUG
Molecule: ribosomal RNA, 497 nt
Filed under: uncultured bacterium
Lineage: Bacteria
Description: partial 16S ribosomal RNA
Rfam family: Bacterial small subunit ribosomal RNA
Source: RNAcentral